This 410-nucleotide ribosomal RNA is filed under the name uncultured bacterium. Its description in RNAcentral is "bacterial SSU rRNA". It matches the Rfam family "Bacterial small subunit ribosomal RNA", at positions 505 to 916 of the family's 1533-position model. The record is from RNAcentral.
GUGCCAGCCGCCGCGGUAACACGUAGGGGGCAAGCGUUAUCCGGAAUUAUUAGGCGUAAAGGGUGCGUAGGCGGCUUCUUAAGCGUGGGGUGAAAUGCAAUAGCUCAACUAUUGUAAGCCUUGCGAACUGGGGAGCUUGAGUGCAGGAGAGGAAAGCGGAAUUCCUAGUGUAGCGGUGAAAUGCGUAGAUAUUAGGAGGAACACCAGUGGCGAAGGCGGCUUUCUGGACUGUAACUGACGCUGAGGCACGAAAGCGUGGGUAGCGAACAGGAUUAGAUACCCUGGUAGUCCACGCCGUAAACGAUGAGCACUAGGUGUCGGGGUCGCAAGACUUCGGUGCCGCAGUUAACGCAUUAAGUGCUCCGCCUGGGGAGUACGCACGCAAGUGUAAAACUUAAAGAAAUUGGCGG